This 1200-nucleotide ribosomal RNA is filed under the name uncultured bacterium. RNAcentral describes it as "bacterial SSU rRNA". It matches the Rfam family "Bacterial small subunit ribosomal RNA", at positions 202 to 1384 of the family's 1533-position model. The record is from RNAcentral.
AAGGCGGGGAUUCUUCGGAACCUGUCGCGAAGAGAUAAGCCCAUUUCCUAUCAGCUUGUUGGUGAGGUAAUGGCUCACCAAGGCUUACGGGUAGCGGGUCUGAGAGGAUGAUCCGCCACACUGGGACUGAGACACUGCCCAGACUCCUACGGGAGGCUGCAGUCGAGAAUCAUUGACAAUGUACGAAAGUAUGAUCAUGCGACGCCGCGUGGAGGAAGACGGCCUUCGGGUUGUAAACUCCUGUCAGCAGGGAGUAAGGAUGGAUAACUUAAUACGUUUUCCAUUUGAUAGUACCUGCAGAGGAAGUCACGGCUAACUCUGUGCCAGCAGCCGCGGUAAUACAGAGGUGGCGAACGUUGUUCGGAUUUACUGGGCGUAAAGGGUCCGCAGGCGGUUUGGUGUGUCAGAUGUGAAAGCCCACGGCUUAACCGUGGAAUUGCAUUUGAAACUGCCAAACUAGAGUACUGGAGGGGAGAAGGGAACACUUGGUGUAGCGGUGAAAUGCGUAGAUAUCAAGUGGAACACCGGCGGCGAAGGCGCUUCUCUGGACAGAUACUGACGCUCAUGGACGAAAGUUAGGGUAGCGAAAGGGAUUAGAUACCCCUGUAGUCCUAACCGUAAACGGUGUGCGCUAGGCGUGGGUGGCUUUACCCCCAUCCGUGCCUGAGCUAACGCAUUAAGCGCACCGCCUGGGGAGUACGGUCGCAAGAUUAAAACUCAAAGGAAUUGACGGGGACCCGCACAAGCGGUGGAGCAUGCGGCUUAAUUCGAUGCAACGCGAAGAACCUUACCUGCCCUUGACAUCCUCAGAACUUGUCAGAGAUGACUCGGUGCCUUCGGGAACUGAGAGACAGGUGCUGCAUGGCUGUCGUCAGCUCGUGUCGUGAGAUGUUGGGUUAAGUCCCGCAACGAGCGCAACCCUUAUCCUUAGUUACCAGCGAUUCGGUCGGGGACUCUAAGGAGACUGCCGGUGACAAACCGGAGGAAGGUGGGGACGACGUCAAGUCAUCAUGGCCCUUAUGGGCAGGGCUACACACGUGCUACAAUGGUCGGUACAGAGGGUUGCGAUGCCGCGAGGUGGAGCUAAUCCCAGAAAGCCGAUCUUAGUCCGGAUUGCAGUCUGCAACUCGACUGCAUGAAGUCGGAAUCGCUAGUAAUCGCGAAUCAGAACGUCGCGGUGAAUACGUUCCCGGGCCUUGU